This 362-nucleotide unclassified non-coding RNA is filed under the name uncultured bacterium. RNAcentral's name for it is "contains 16S-23S intergenic spacer region". The record is from RNAcentral.
UCCCCGUUACCGGGGCAGUCUGGCCAGAAAGAUUCAACUGACCAUAAGGGUUGCGCUCGUUAAUGGGCUUAACCAAACAUCUCACGACACGAGCUGACGACGGCCAUGCAUCACCUGUCACUGCGGCCCGUAGGCACACUUUCCUUUCGGAAAGCUUGGCAGGAUGUCAAGCCUGGGUAAGGUUCUUCGUUUACCGUCGAAUUAAACAACACGCUCCACCGCUUGUGCGGGUCCCCGUCAAUUCCUUUAUGUUUUAAGCUUGCGCUCGUACUCCACAGGCGGCUUGCUUAACGCGUUAGCUUCGCUACUACCAGGGUCGAUACUGAUAACAGCUAGCAAGCAUAGUUUACGGCGUGGACUAC